ACCUGGGAUAGCUCAGUCAGUAGAGCAUGAGACUCUUAACCUCAGGGUUAUGGGUUCAAGCCCCACAUUGGGCA
This 74-nucleotide transfer RNA is filed under the name Podarcis lilfordi (Lilford's wall lizard). Its description in RNAcentral is "tRNA.Lys". The stretch from base 9 to 66 matches the Rfam family "tRNA", at positions 8 to 63 of the family's 71-position model. Rfam says of the family: Transfer RNA (tRNA) molecules are approximately 80 nucleotides in length. The record is from RNAcentral. Lineage: Eukaryota; Metazoa; Chordata; Lepidosauria; Squamata; Lacertidae.